GAUGAACGCUGACAGAAUGCUUAACACAUGCAAGUCAACUUGAACUUCGGUUUGGGUGGCGGACGGGUGAGUAACGCGUAAAGAACUUGCCUCACAGGUAGGGACAACAUUUGGAAACGAAUGCUAAUACCUGAUAUUAUGAUUAUAUGGCAUCGUAUAAUUAUGAAAGCUAUAUGCGCUGUGAGAGAGCUUUGCGUCCCAUUAGCUAGUUGGAGAGGUAACGGCUCACCAAGGCGAUGAUGGGUAGCCGGCCUGAGAGGGUGAUCGGCCACAAGGGGACUGAGACACGGCCCUUACUCCUACGGGAGGCAGCAGUGGGGAAUAUUGGACAAUGGACCAAGAGUCUGAUCCAGCAAUUCUGUGUGCACGAUGAAGUUUUUCGGAAUGUAAAGUGCUUUCAGUUGGGAAGAAAAAAAUGACGGUACCAACAGAAGAAGUGACGGCUAAAUACGUG
RNAcentral lists this ribosomal RNA (454 nucleotides) under uncultured bacterium. RNAcentral's name for it is "partial 16S ribosomal RNA". It matches the Rfam family "Bacterial small subunit ribosomal RNA", at positions 28 to 507 of the family's 1533-position model. The record is from RNAcentral.